Molecule: long non-coding RNA, 716 nt
Organism: Populus euphratica (Euphrates poplar)
Lineage: Eukaryota; Viridiplantae; Streptophyta; Magnoliopsida; Malpighiales; Salicaceae
Exons: 3
Source: RefSeq, a predicted model, not a curated record
AAAUUUUGCAUCAAUGAUUAUUGGUAGAGCGAUUAUUGGUAUCACCGGUUUACUAAUGGUUUGUGUCCCUACAAAGAUUCUUGGUGACAUUGCUUAACAAGAUUUCGGAAAUUCGAACUGUCAAGGAAUGUUAUUGCAGUUCUGCAAAUAUUACAAUAACGCAGCGGGUCAAAGUUUUUCUUUCCAGAGAGUUGUUUAAUCCUGGGGUUAAGAUUUGUCAGAACAAAUCUGUUUUUGCAAUCAUUUUCUAUCAACCUAUGCUAGCUAGUAGAAAGCAUCAACCUCUUCUAUGUUUAGUCCUGAACACCAUAUCAUGAAUUUAGUACUUUUUUUGUUACAAUAGCCAUUUAAAAGCUUCGUUGGGCUUCAAGCAGCCUCUUGGUGCAUAGAUAAGGAAGUUUGGACGAGGUUUCAGCAUGUGGAUCCUCUUAAAAGAAAGAGGGAGCGGGUAGCAGCAGGUUUCCCUAAUGAUUUUCCUUUGAUUCAAUUGUAUUAUGAUGUAUGAGUUCAAAGGACUCAACUCGGUCUGUAUUAGCAGUUGGAUCUAUAAUUUUUCUUCUGAAAUUCAGAACUAAACUCACUGUCUGUGUAAUGUUUCAUGAACAAGAACAUGCAGCACUCUGAAGACAGAUUUCAUUUGGAUGGAAAUCACUUAAAAGAGUUAGAUAGUUGAUGAAAAGCAGUCAGGGAGAUUCAGAACUACUUACAAGCAGAUG